CCGUUACAGCAGAGGUGGAGAGAAAAGCAUAUUUAAAAUCAGGUGGAAAAUAAGAGGUACAAAGGAAGAUAGAGUUUGUUCUGCAACUGGCUUCACUGGUCUGUUCUAGGAGUCACCCAAGUCUCCCUGUCUCAGGCUGAAUUCUUGGGGGAUUCCAUGCCAGCAUACCUCCAUAGAGAUAAAAGAGAAGAUCUAUUAUUGCCAUGAGUGUGGACCAGAAUAUCAAAGCACUUUCAGAUGCGCAGGAUAACCAAGGCAGUUGCACGUGAUUUGCUACAUUUCUGGAAAUAUGGAUAAACAGUAAUAAAACCGUUAUCCCAGAGAAAAACA
RNAcentral lists this long non-coding RNA (330 nucleotides) under Coturnix japonica (Japanese quail). RNAcentral's name for it is "lncRNA (ENSCJPG00005009229.1)". The record is from RNAcentral. Lineage: Eukaryota; Metazoa; Chordata; Aves; Galliformes; Phasianidae.